RNAcentral lists this ribosomal RNA (292 nucleotides) under uncultured bacterium. RNAcentral's name for it is "partial 16S ribosomal RNA". The record is from RNAcentral.
GGACUACAGGGGUAUCUAAUCCUGUUUGCUCCCCACGCUUUCGUGCCUCAGUGUCAGUAUCUGUCCAGAAGGUCGCCUUCGCCACAGAUGUUCCUUCCAAUAUCUACGCAUUUCACCGCUACACUGGAAAUUCCACCUUCCUCUACAGUACUCUAGCUAAACAGUAUUGAGCGCAAUCCCCAGGUUAAGCCCAGGACUUUCACACCCAACUUAUUCAACCACCUACGCACCCUUUACGCCCAGUAAUUCCGAUUAACGCUUGCACCCUCUGUAUUACCGCGGCUGCUGGCAC